UCUGAAGCAAUUAUGGCCACUGUAACAUGAGGACCAUAGAAAGGAAUGUGCUGCAUCACACACCGGUUCUCAGACUUUCUGCCUAGAGAUGACACCUUCCUAUGUGAUUGCUCAACUCCAGUGGUAGGGACAGAAUAAUACAGUCCUGCCAGGUGCUUGGAGGAAGAGCAAGCAUCCCUAGUGACAUGGAGGACACAACAAUUCACCUGGCCCCCACAGCAGAUAAAGAAACUGAGGCUCAGAGAGGAGAAAUUAUUCAUCCCUGGCCCCUCAAUAAGAUACAUGGAAUUGAUGAACCGUGGCCAUGUGGAUGGACAAGAGGACCUCCUGGGAUGGCAACUGAGCCUCUGUGAGAAGACUGAGGCUCAACAAAGCUAAGCCACCUGUCCAAGACUGCACAGCUGGGCGGAAGCUCCGCCGUCUGACCUUGAGACCUGUACUCUUUCCCACUCCUUAGUAAUGACAGGGCCUGUGGGGUCUCAGGGAUCCACUUUGGGAAAGUUUUGACUUUCAGAUCCCCAUAGAAAAGGCAGACAACUGAGAGUCAUCAAACACUACACCAUGCUCAGGUAGGCAAAGUG
This 581-nucleotide long non-coding RNA is filed under the name Heterocephalus glaber (naked mole-rat). RNAcentral describes it as "lncRNA (ENSHGLG00000047778.1)". Lineage: Eukaryota; Metazoa; Chordata; Mammalia; Rodentia; Bathyergidae. The record is from RNAcentral.